AUGAAGCUGCUAUAUAGGAAGUGCCGUCUGAUGCGAUAACUGACGAUGGCAAAGCAAAAUCAGCCUGAGACACAACGUGCAGAUGCGAGAUGUUUCACUGUUUAGGAGACAGCAGGUGUCUGAUCACAUGUUUUUCUUCUCCACAGGUGAGCAUCUGCUUCUGAACGCUGCUUCAGCACUGAUCAGAUUGAGCGGAAACCACCAUGAAGUCUCCUGAUUCACCUGAGUGGAGAGCUAUAUGCUCCACAGUGACCAUGAUGAAUGCUGGAGAUUGACGUCAGAUCAUAGUGUCUUUUUACAAUGUUUGUUUAUUAAAUAAAACAUAUCAAAAUGAUUCCCGUCUCUGUGUGGUCAUGUGUUGAAGACAGAGUUGUAUGAGGUUUUCUUCAGCGUGUCCAGGAAGUACUGCUCCUCCUGCAGGAAGUCUUUGUCCUGUUAGAGAAAUGAGCAGAAACCAUUAGUACGGUUGGGACGUUGCCUAUUUAGGGCAGUGAUUCUCAAACUUUUUACAGCAGCAUACCCCCUGGGGCAUUUAACAUUCUUCUGCG
This 548-nucleotide long non-coding RNA is filed under the name Sinocyclocheilus anshuiensis. RNAcentral's name for it is "lncRNA (ENSSANG00000041613.1)". The stretch from base 1 to 70 matches the Rfam family "Small nucleolar RNA SNORD49". Lineage: Eukaryota; Metazoa; Chordata; Actinopteri; Cypriniformes; Cyprinidae. The record is from RNAcentral.